GUUAGUGGCAAACGGGUGAGUAACACGUAGAUAACCUGCCUCAAAGUCAAGAAUAGUCUCCCGAAAGGGAAAGUAAUACUUGAUAGUCUCGCUUCACGAAAGUGCUUGCGAGUAAAGCUUUUGCGCUUUGAGAGGGGUCUGCGUCCUAUCAGCUUGUUGGUGAGGUAAUGGCUCACCAAGGCUAAGACGGGUAGCUGGCGUGAGAGCGCGGUCAGCCACAAUGGAACUGAGAACGGUCCAUACUCC
Molecule: ribosomal RNA, 246 nt
Filed under: uncultured bacterium
Lineage: Bacteria
Description: partial 16S ribosomal RNA
Rfam family: Bacterial small subunit ribosomal RNA
Source: RNAcentral